Molecule: long non-coding RNA, 1333 nt
Filed under: Cricetulus griseus (Chinese hamster)
Lineage: Eukaryota; Metazoa; Chordata; Mammalia; Rodentia; Cricetidae
Description: lncRNA (ENSCGRG00015034455.1)
Source: RNAcentral
UUUUAUUGGAAAGGAGGAACUUUAAAUAAACCGUGGAAGCCACAAAAUUGAUCCAAAUUAACUGAGCAAGAAAAGCACUUCUUUUGCCUAAAAAGGAAAAGCUGCAAGAGAGAGAGGGAAAAAAGGUGAAACUUGAGGGUGAAGAUCCAAACUUGAAGAUCCAUUGCCUGGGAGCCUCCUGAGAGACACAGGGGUCUAGCUUCAGACACCUUGCCCUGACUUCUUACUGCUCAUUUAGGAGCCUGGCACUGUGAUAGCCAGGUCCAAGAUCUACUUGGCCAGCAUUCCUGGUACCAGCAGCUCAUGGGAAUCUUGGGUUCUGCAUCUGUGCACAGAGCUCAUCAGUCCUCACUGAGAGCAGCUUGGAUUCACUCACCACUCCCUGGCCACGCCCACUCUCUUGUGAGCUUAAGAAACCUCUGCCCUGGAGCCAUUUGGUUCCCAAAACAGGAUGUCCACCUUUUGGCUUCCAUGAACAGGACUUUUAUGACCACGGACAGGUACCGUUGGAAGCCAAAAGGAGUCAGUCCCCACAGCUGGAGCUACAGCACUUGGAGUCACCUGGCAUGGGUGCUGGGAGCAGAACUAGUGUCCUCUAGAAGAGCCAGAAGUACUCGCAACCACAGGACCAUCUCUCUAGCCCCUGACAGAAGUCAGCACAUGAUAAGACAGGACAAAUGUGCUAGUCUGGGCCUCUCUUUCUCUUCUUUAAAAGCCACUAAUGUCAUCUUGGCAUCCCCACUCUCAUGCUUUUACCUACUCUAACUGCCCCCAGCAUCCUCACAUCCAGAUACUGAGACCUUAUGAAACUGAGGGCUGAGUUUCCAGUCAGUCAACAGUAGCAUGGCUGAGUCUCAUAAAAUAAGGAGGAACCUUUUGACUGUUCAAUCAAUAUCCAUGGGUGGAUGACCCAGAUUUGACAUUUUGUAAGGAUCUGUGGCUGUCCUUUGAGUGGAAAGGCUGCAAAACAAAAAAGAGCCUCCAAGCCCAAGACCUUGAUCUCAUGGGGCAACGAUGUCUCUCUCUACCUGACCCUCACUUCAGCUGAUGGCACAGCUCAGUCAUUGGUUUGCUACACUGAAUUGGAAAGUAAAUGCUAGAAACUGGUGUCUUGUCUGUGUUUAUGUGUCUCUAUGGGGGUAUGUCUGUGUGUUUCUACUUCUGUUUCUGUCUUUGGAUAUGUGCAUGUGUCUCUGUGUGUCUGUAUCUCUCUGUCUCUCUGUUAUGUGUAUGUAUCUCUCUGUCUCUGUCUCUGUCUCUCUCUCUGUCUCUCUCUCUCUGUCUCUCUCUCUCUCUCUCUCUCUGUGUGUGUGUGUGUGUGUGUGUGUGUGUG